UUAAAAAGCUCGUAGGAUUUCUGUCGAAAACGAGCGGUCCACACAACGUGUGCGCAUCUGCUUCGGUUUUGACAUCCUUCCGAAAGACGACUCUGCGCUUGAUUGCGUGGAUCGGAUUCCGGGACUUUUACUUUGAGGAAAUUAGAGUGUUCACGGCAGGCUAUCGCCAGAAUACAUUAGCAUGGAAUAAUACUAUAGGAUCUUGAUCCUAUUUUGUUGGUUUCUAGGAGCAAGAUAAUGAUUAAUAGGGACAAUUGGGGGCAUUCGUAUCAACACGUCAGAGGUGGAAUUCUUGGAUUGUGUUGCGACGAACUACUGCGAAAGCAUUUGCCAAGGAUGUUUUCAUUGAUCAAGAACGAAAGUUAGGGGAUCGAAGACGGUUAGAUACCGUCGUAGUCUUAACCAUAAACUAUGCUAACUAGGGAUGGGUCAUCGUUCACAUACGACUUGAUCCGCACCUUAUGGGAUACCAUUUAGUCUUUGAGUUCCGGGGGGAGUAUGGUCGCAAGUCUGAAACUUAAAGGAAUUGACGGAAGGGCACCACCAGGAGUGGAGCCUGCGGCUUAAUUUGACUCAACACGGGGAAACUCACCAGGUCCAGACAUAAUAAGGAUUGACAGAUUGAUAGCUCUUUCUUGAUUUUAUGGGUGGUGGUGCAUGGCCGUUCUUAGUUCGUGGAGUGAUUUGUCUGCUUAAUUGCGUUAACGAACGAGACCUUAACCUGCUAAAUAGGAGCGCAUAUCUUCGGAUAAGCGCCUUUCUUCUUAGAGGGACUUUAUGCGUUUCAGCAUGAGGAAGUUUGAGGCUAAAACAGGUCUGUGAUGCCCUUAGAUGUUCUGGGCUGCACGCGCGCUACACUGAUGCGUUCAACGAGUGUACACCUUGCCCGAUAGGGUUGGGUAACCUUUUGAACACGCAUCGUGAUGGGGAUAGAGUAUUG
This 940-nucleotide ribosomal RNA is filed under the name uncultured alveolate. RNAcentral describes it as "SSU rRNA". It matches the Rfam family "Eukaryotic small subunit ribosomal RNA", at positions 619 to 1586 of the family's 1831-position model. The record is from RNAcentral.